RNAcentral lists this unclassified non-coding RNA (345 nucleotides) under soil metagenome. RNAcentral's name for it is "partial contains 5.8S ribosomal RNA, internal transcribed spacer 2, and large subunit ribosomal RNA". The stretch from base 1 to 120 matches the Rfam family "5.8S ribosomal RNA", at positions 35 to 154 of the family's 154-position model. The record is from RNAcentral.
GAUGAAGAACGCAGCGAAAUGCGAUAAGUAAUGUGAAUUGCAGAAUUCAGUGAAUCAUCGAGUCUUUGAACGCACAUUGCGCCCCCUGGUAUUCCGGGGGGCAUGCCUGUCCGAGCGUCAUUGCUGCCCUCAAGCACGGCUUGUGUGUUGGGCCUCCGUCCUCCUCCCGGGGGACGGGCCCGAAAGGCAGCGGCGGCACCGCGUCCGGUCCUCGAGCGUAUGGGGCUUCGUCACCCGCUCUUGUAGGCCCGGCCGGCGCUUGCCGACACAUCAAUCUUUUUUCCAGGUUGACCUCGGAUCAGGUAGGGAUACCCGCUGAACUUAAGCAUAUCCAUAAGCGGAGGA